UGAUGAGUAAAUGGAGGCUCCUGGUCCAU
RNAcentral lists this non-coding RNA (29 nucleotides) under Mus musculus (house mouse). The record is from RNAcentral. Lineage: Eukaryota; Metazoa; Chordata; Mammalia; Rodentia; Muridae.